UACAGAGGUGGCAAGCGUUGUUCGGAAUUACUGGGCGUAAAGGGCGCGUAGGCGGUUCGUUAAGUCCUGUGUGAAAUCCCCCGGCUCAACUGGGGAACUGCACAGGAAACUAGCGGGCUUGAGUUCGGGAGAGGGAAGCGGAAUUCCGGGUGUAGCGGUGAAAUGCGUAGAUAUCCGGAGGAACACCGGUGGCGAAGGCGGCUAGCUGGGCCAAUACUGACGCUGAGACACGAAAGCGUGGGGAGCAAACGGG
This 253-nucleotide ribosomal RNA is filed under the name uncultured bacterium. Its description in RNAcentral is "partial 16S ribosomal RNA". It matches the Rfam family "Bacterial small subunit ribosomal RNA", at positions 524 to 776 of the family's 1533-position model. The record is from RNAcentral.